This 460-nucleotide ribosomal RNA is filed under the name uncultured bacterium. RNAcentral's name for it is "partial 16S ribosomal RNA". It matches the Rfam family "Bacterial small subunit ribosomal RNA", at positions 338 to 795 of the family's 1533-position model. The record is from RNAcentral.
CCUACGGGAGGCAGCAGUGAGGAAUAUUGGUCAAUGGACGAGAGUCUGAACCAGCCAAGUAGCGUGAAGGAUGACUGCCCUAUGGGUUGUAAACUUCUUUUAUAUGGGAAUAAAAUGUUCCACGUGUGGGAUUUUGUAUGUACCAUAUGAAUAAGGAUCGGCUAACUCCGUGCCAGCAGCCGCGGUAAUACGGAGGAUCCGAGCGUUAUCCGGAUUUAUUGGGUUUAAAGGGAGCGUAGGUGGAUUGUUAAGUCAGUGGUGAAAGUUUGCGGCGCAACCGUAAAAUUGCAGUUGAAACUGGCAGUCUUGAGUACAGUAGAGGUGGGCGGAAGUCGUGGUGUAGCGGUGAAAUGCUUAGAUAUCACGAAGAACUCCGAUUGCGAAGGCAGUUCACUGGACUGCAACUGACACUGAGGCUCGAAAGUGUGGGUAUCAAACAGGAUUAGAUACCCCUGUAGUC